ACAUGCAAGUCGAACGAUCCGUGGUCUUCGGACCACAAUGGAUAGUGGCGCACGGGUGAGUAACGCGUGGGAAUAUGCCCUGGAGUACGGAAUAACUAAGGGAAACUUUAGCUAAUACCGUAUACGCCCCAAGGGGGGAAAGAUUUAUCGCUCCAGGAUUAGCCCGCGUCUGAUUAGCUUGUUGGUAAGGUAAUGGCUUACCAAGGCGACGAUCCAUAGCUGGUUUGAGAGGAUGAUCAGCCACACUGGGACUGAGACACGGCCCAGACUCC
This 272-nucleotide ribosomal RNA is filed under the name unidentified marine bacterioplankton. RNAcentral's name for it is "partial 16S ribosomal RNA". It matches the Rfam family "Bacterial small subunit ribosomal RNA", at positions 53 to 339 of the family's 1533-position model. The record is from RNAcentral.